GGGAUUGCCUCAGUAACGGCGAGUGAAGCGGCACAAGCUCAAAUUUGAAAUCUGGCUCUUUCAGGGUCCGAGUUGUAAUUUGUAGAAGAUGCUUCGGGUGUGGCUCCGGUCUAAGUUCCUUGGAACAGGACGUCAUAGAGGGUGAGAAUCCCGUAUGUGACCGGUCGCCUUCGCCCAUGUGAAGCUCUUUCGACGAGUCGAGUUGUUUGGGAAUGCAGCUCAAAAUGGGUGGUAAAUUUCAUCUAAAGCUAAAUAUUGGCCAGAGACCGAUAGCGCACAAGUAGAGUGAUCGAAAGAUGAAAAGCACUUUGGAAAGAGAGUUAAACAGUACGUGAAAUUGUUGAAAGGGAAGCGCUUGCAACCAGACUUGCGCGCGGUUGAUCAUCCGGGGUUCUCCCCGGUGCACUCUGCCGCGCUCAGGCCAGCAUCGGUUUCGACGGUGGGAUAAAGGCCUUGGGAAUGUGGCUCCUCUCGGGGAGUGUUAUAGCCCUCGGUGCAAUGCCGCCUGUCGGGACCGAGGACCGCGCUUCGGCUAGGAUGCUGGCGUAAUGGUUGUAAGCGACCCGUCUUGAAACACGGACCAAGGAGUCUAACAUCUAUGCGAGUGUUUGGGUGUCAAACCCAUACGCGUAAUGAAAGUGAACGGAGGUGAGAACCCUUAAGGGUGCAUCAUCGACCGAUCCUGAUGUCUUCGGAUGGAUUUGAGUAAGAGCAUAGCUGUUGGGACCCGAAAGAUGGUGAACUAUGCGUGAAUAGGGUGAAGCCAGAGGAAACUCUGGUGGAGGCUCGCAGCGGUUCUGACGUGCAAAUCGAUCGUCAAAUUUGCGCAUAGGGGCGAAAGACUAAUCGAACCAUCUA
Molecule: ribosomal RNA, 858 nt
Filed under: Tricladium angulatum
Lineage: Eukaryota; Fungi; Ascomycota; Leotiomycetes; Helotiales; Tricladiaceae
Description: eukaryotic LSU rRNA
Rfam family: Eukaryotic large subunit ribosomal RNA
Source: RNAcentral